AGAGUUUGAUCCUGGCUCAGGAUGAACGCUGACAGAAUGCUUAACACAUGCAAGUCUUUGGCGAAGCUGUGCUUGCACAGACUAGCCAAGGCGGACGGGUGAGUAACGCGUAAGGAACUUACCCUGCAGACAGGGAUAACAGAUGGAAACGACUGAUAAGACCUGGUAUUGUCAGGCUGACGCAUGUCAAGCCUGAUGAAAGGAGACGCUGCAGGAGAGCCUUGCGUCCUAUUAGCUAGUUGGUGGGGUAAUGGCCUACCAAGGCGAUGAUAGGUAGCCGGCCUGAGAGGGUGAACGGCCACAAGGGGACUGAGAUACGGCCCUUACUCCUACGGGAGGCAGCAGUGGGGAAUAUUGGACAAUGGGGGCAACCCUGAUCCAGCAAUUCUGUGUGCACGAAGAAGGUUUUCGGAUUGUAAAGUGCUUUCAGCAGGGAAGAAGAAAGUGACGGUACCUGCAGAAGAAGCGACGGCUAAAUACGUGCCAGCAGCCGCGGUAAUACGUAUGUCGCAAGCGUUAUCCGGAAUUAUUGGGCAUAAAGGGCAUCUAGGCGGCCCUGUAAGUCUAGGGUGAAAACCUGCGGCUCAACCGCAGGCUUGCCCCGGAAACUACAGGGCUAGAGUACCGGAGAGGUGGACGGAACUGCACGAGUAGAGGUGAAAUUCGUAGAUAUGUGCAGGAAUGCCGAUGAUGAAGAUAGUUCACUGGACGGCAACUGACGCUGAAGUGCGAAAGCUAGGGGAGCAAACAGGAUUAGAUACCCUGGUAGUCCUAGCUGUAAACGAUGAUUACUGGGUGUGGGCAUGAAGAGUGUCCGUGCCGAAGCAAAUGCGAUAAGUAAUCCGCCUGGGGA
RNAcentral lists this ribosomal RNA (853 nucleotides) under Leptotrichia sp. oral taxon 879 str. F0557. RNAcentral's name for it is "bacterial SSU rRNA". It matches the Rfam family "Bacterial small subunit ribosomal RNA", at positions 8 to 879 of the family's 1533-position model. Lineage: Bacteria; Fusobacteriati; Fusobacteriota; Fusobacteriia; Fusobacteriales; Leptotrichiaceae. The record is from RNAcentral.